UACGGGGGGGGCAAGCGUUGUUCGGAAUUACUGGGCGUAAAGGGCUCGUAGGUGGCCAACUAAGUCAGACGUGAAAUCCCUCGGCUUAACCGGGGAACUGCGUCUGAUACUGGAUGGCUUGAGUUUGGGAGAGGGACGCGGAAUUCCAGGUGUAGCGGUGAAAUGCGUAGAUAUCUGGAGGAACACCGGUGGCGAAGGCGGCGACCUGGUCCAUUACUGACGCUGAGGCGCGACAGCGUGGGGAGCAAACAGG
RNAcentral lists this ribosomal RNA (253 nucleotides) under uncultured bacterium. RNAcentral describes it as "partial 16S ribosomal RNA". It matches the Rfam family "Bacterial small subunit ribosomal RNA", at positions 524 to 776 of the family's 1533-position model. The record is from RNAcentral.